Molecule: ribosomal RNA, 507 nt
Filed under: Colletotrichum gloeosporioides
Lineage: Eukaryota; Fungi; Ascomycota; Sordariomycetes; Glomerellales; Glomerellaceae
Description: eukaryotic LSU rRNA
Rfam family: 5.8S ribosomal RNA (bases 151-304)
Source: RNAcentral
CUUUGUGACAUACCUAUAACUGUUGCUUCGGCGGGUAGGGUCUCCGUGACCCUCCCGGCCUCCCGCCCCCGGGCGGGUCGGCGCCCGCCGGAGGAUAACCAAACUCUGAUUUAACGACGUUUCUUCUGAGUGGUACAAGCAAAUAAUCAAAACUUUUAACAACGGAUCUCUUGGUUCUGGCAUCGAUGAAGAACGCAGCGAAAUGCGAUAAGUAAUGUGAAUUGCAGAAUUCAGUGAAUCAUCGAAUCUUUGAACGCACAUUGCGCCCGCCAGCAUUCUGGCGGGCAUGCCUGUUCGAGCGUCAUUUCAACCCUCAAGCUCUGCUUGGUGUUGGGGCCCUACAGCUGAUGUAGGCCCUCAAAGGUAGUGGCGGACCCUCCCGGAGCCUCCUUUGCGUAGUAACUUUACGUCUCGCACUGGGAUCCGGAGGGACUCUUGCCGUAAAACCCCCCAAUUUUCCAAAGGUUGACCUCGGAUCAGGUAGGAAUACCCGCUGAACUUAAGCAU